Molecule: non-coding RNA, 193 nt
Organism: Oryza nivara
Lineage: Eukaryota; Viridiplantae; Streptophyta; Magnoliopsida; Poales; Poaceae
Source: Rfam
UUUAAGUGCAACUAUGAGUUCCGUACCCAACUUUGACAGUUCGUCUUAUUAAAAAAAAUUACAAUUAGUAUUUUUAUUGUUAUGAGAUGAUAAAACAUAAAUAGUACUUUAUACGUGACUUAUUUUUUUUAAUUUUUUUUCAAAUAAGACGUGCGAUCAAAGUUUAGCACGGAAAAUCAUGGUUACACUUAAA